GUAAACAACUACAAAGUAUGCAACUACAAAGUAUGCAACUACAAGGUAAACAACUACAAAGUAUGCAACUACAAGGUAAACAACUACAAGGUAAACAACUACAAGGUAAACAACUACAAAGUAAACAGCUACAAGGCCUUAAUAAAACUUUAUUAAAUCAUACACUAUUGAACAAAUACAAUGACACAAACAGAUUGUUACCAACCGUUUUUAAUAAAUAUACACCACUUCCAUAUUUGAAAGUUAAGAGUAAAACAACAAACAUGAAUAAAAUAGUUCCUUUAUAUGUACAGAAAACAAGUAGGAACAGAGUCUAUAGUGAUCAAGGUAACAUACAUAGUCGCAUUAAAAAUAAGAAACGGAACAAAUCUGAAAUUUUAAUAGAUAAAGAAGCAAAACAAUGGGAAAUAAAAAAAACGAGUGAAAAAUAUAAACAUGAAAGUAGUAAUGUCGAAGACGAAGACGAUGCUAAAUCAGAUAUAGUUAACGAAUUAUUAUUAAAAAAAAUAUAUAUUGAUAAAAAAAAAAAAUUGUUAGAAAAAAAAAAUUCGAAAAAAAAAUUUAUAACUUGAUACAAAAAAAAAAAAAUAAAAUACAAAAUAAUUAUAACUUGAAAAAAAUAAAAAAUCAUAUAUACGAUUAUUACGACCGGUAUAGUGACGAUAGUGUUGAUAUUUAUGAUUAUUCCAAUAUGAGAAAAUACAGACAUAAGAUUGAUCUAUACGACACGAGUAAUGAUGAAUAUAUAAAUUAUCCUAACAUCAAUCACGACUAUAUUAUCUAUAAUCGACUUAAACAAAAUAACGAUCAAUCACGUGUAAGGACCCACUCCAUCAAUAAUCAUACACAUACACGAAAUAACAUAACUCGUUACUUAGAAACUUUAGUCAGUACAAAAAAAAAAAUUAACAAUAAAAAAGGCAUUGAAAAAAGCAAUGGAGAAAAAAAGAAUAAAAAUAAAAAAAAUAAAGACACUCUUUUAUAUGAUUCAACUUAUACUUCAUUAGAGGAAAAUAAUAUAACUGAAAAAACAAAUAUAAAUACGAAACAAGCACAAAAUAAAACAAAUAUUUAUAAUAAAGAAUUACAAAAAAAUAAACAAAGAUAUAGGUCUUACUCUUACAAAAAUAGGUCAAAUAAAAUAAACAUACUAAAAAAAAGUAUAGAGUCCAUCAAACAUAGUGCUAUAAAAACAGAAAAUACAUUGAAUGAAUUUGAACUAAAAGAAAAAAACUGCUUAAAAGAUAAUAAAAUUUAUAAAAAAACAAUAAAUGAAGAACUACAAAAAAUAUAUGACAAUGUAUCUAAUCAAAAUUUUUGUAAAAGUCUAAGAAACGUACAAGUCGGAGAUAAUGCAAAGAACAAUAUUACUACUUUAUUAAAAGAGAAAUGGGGCAAUAAAGUAGACAAAACUUUUUUUAAAAAUGGUACAAUCGACUCUUUAAAUAGUGGCAUUAAUAGAAGUGAAAAUGUGAACAGUAGGGGCAGUAGUGACAGUAGGGGUAGUAACAACAAUGAAAGCCACGACAAUGAAAUUUACGAAAGUAAUAAAAUUGAUGGAGCAAACGACAAGAUGGAUAACCACGUAAACGAUGAACCAAUCAGGAUAAAAGUUAACAUAAAAAAAAAUAACGAACUAAAAAAUAACGAACUAAAAAAUAACGAGCUAAAAAAUAACGAGCUAAAAAAUAACGAACUAAAAAAUAACGAACUAAAAAAUAAGGAGCUAAAAAAUAACGAACUNNNNNNNNNNCUAAAAAAUAACGAACUAAAAAAUAAGGAACUAAAAAAUAAGGAGCUAAAAAAUAACGAACUAAAAAAUAAGGAACUAAAAAAUAAGGAGCUAAAAAAUAACGAACUAAAAAAAAUAGUAAAGAAUACUUAUAUUAAAAGUACAGUUAAUUCUUUGAACAUUGGUUUACCAAAUAAUAAACAGUAUACCACUCUUGGGGAUACUAAUCAGAGUUUUUUGAAUUUAAAUAAAAGUAGUAGUGAUGAAGAGGAUAUAUGCAAAACCAUAUCAAGUAACAGGAAAAAAAAAAACUUAAGUGAUACAGAAAUGGAAAUAAAAAAAAACAAAACUGAAAACUUUUUAUAUCGUGAUACUCCAAAAAGAAAACUGUCAGAAAACAACACCUUUUUAAAAAAACAUGAAGGAUCUGGAGGAGGAGACUACUUAAAAGUAAAAUCAAGUUUUAUGAAAAAUGCGAAAGUAAGUCUGCCAAUGUUGAAAACAACAAAAAAAAGACCCGAUCUAAAAAAAACGAAAGGACAAAUUACUUCAGAACACAAUAAAACAACACAUGAUGAAAAUAAAACAUCUAUAUAUUCCUCUCUUCCCUCACAUAUUAAUGAUAAAAAAAAUACUAGCGAAAUAAUCAGUAUGGAACAAAUAGAUCCCAAUAAAUGGGUUGAACAAAUUUUUGGUGAUAAUUAAUUACACUACUUUUACAUGACCCUUUAAUUUAUCUGUGUUAAUAAGCAUAUUAAGUAUGUGCAUAUCUUUACAUUUUCUUCACCUUAUUUUUUUCACCUUAUUUUUUUCACCU
Molecule: long non-coding RNA, 2549 nt
Filed under: Piliocolobus tephrosceles (Ugandan red Colobus)
Lineage: Eukaryota; Metazoa; Chordata; Mammalia; Primates; Cercopithecidae
Description: lncRNA (ENSPTEG00000016519.1)
Source: RNAcentral